AUGGGCUUCUGUGGGCGAGCUGGCCGGGGCCGCAGAGGCCGAGGACACCGCAGCAGCGGCGCAGCGGGUGGGGCGAGGUGGUCCGUGCUCCUGGAAACGGGCGCGCACUCGCGCCCCUGCGCCCAGGGUGAUGAUGGUCGCGCCCUGGACGCGGUUCUACUCCAAAAGCUGCUGCCUAUGCUGCCGUGUCUGCGUUGGCGCCAUCCUGCUCGGUGUCUGGUACCUGAUCAUCAAUGCUAUGGUACUGUUGCUUUUACUGAGUGCCCUGGCUGAUCCGGAUCAGAAUGACUUUCCAAGUUCUGAAGUGGGAGGUGACUUUGAGUUCACGGAGGAUGCCACCAUGUGCAUUGCCAUUGCGAUUUCUCUUCUCAUGAUCCUGAUAUGUGCUAUGACUACGGAGCAUACAAGCAACACACAGCCUGGAUCAUCCCAUUCUUCUGUUACAAGAUCUUUGAUUUUGCUCUGAACACCUUGGUUGCAAUCACUGUGCUUGUUUAUCUAAACUCCAUUCAGGAAUACAUAGGACAACUGCCUCCUAAUUUUCCCUGCAGAGGAAAUGUCAUGUUGGUGAAUCCUACCUGUUUGGUCCUUAUUAUUCUUCUAUUUAUUAGCAUUACCCUGACUUUUAAGGGUUACUUUGUUAGCUGUGUUUGGAACUGUUACCUUUACAUCAGUGGCAGGAACUCCUCCGAUGUCCUGGCUUAUGUUACCAGCAAUGACACUACAGUACUGCCACCCCCGUAUGAUGACGCCACUGUGAAUGGUGCUGCCAAGGAACCUCCGCCCCGCUACGCGUCUGUCUAAGCCUUCGAGUGGGCGGAGCUGAGAGCAGCAGCUUGACUUUUCAGACAUCUGAGCAAUAGUUCUGUUAUUUCACUUUUGAGGUGAGCUCUCUGAGCUUCUUUGUUGCUGAAAUGCUAAUUUUUAAAAUUUAGAUGUUAGGUUGAAACCUGUAGUUUUCAACAUAUGCUUUGCUAGAACACUGUGAGAGAUUCGCUGUAGAAUUCUUUCUGUAGGAUUGAGGGAGUAAUGGACUUCACUAACCUUCCCUAGGCACUGAAACUUCCCCCAAAUCUAGAUGGAUCUAGAGUCAGAGGAGUCUGGCUUCGUACUUGUUGGGGCCCAAAGUUGGGCAGUCAGUCACACAUUUUCUCUCUGUUCCCUCUCUUUUGAAAGUGUAACAUAAAACCAAAAAUAGACAACAUUUUCUUAAACCAUUCCAAAGUAGAGAACAAAACCUUAUGAAAACAGGAA
This is an RNA transcript of Sapajus apella (tufted capuchin), 1254 nucleotides long. It is a transcript of the gene named lysosomal-associated transmembrane protein 4B-like, with no coding region annotated. The record is from RefSeq and is a predicted model, not a curated record. The transcript has 2 exons. NCBI's taxonomy places the organism in Eukaryota, Metazoa, Chordata, Mammalia, Primates, Cebidae.